GCUUGUAAGCGUUGCGUAUCAUCAGAUCAAAGUACGCAUCGUGAUCUAUGCUCGCGCUGAUAACGCUGUAAUAAUUCAUGAAUUCCUCUGCCGUUACCUGCAACGAAGAGAAAAAACAACGCUGAUCGAGAAUUACGCAUCGAUGAAAGUCGGAGUUGCGUGACGUCGACCUCAUUCGCUAAUAACAGCGUAAAUAAAAGGAUUCUCUGGACUUACCUACCCAGACCGAGGAUGCCGUUGGCACCUCUAGCCAGGCAGAGCAGACGCAGCUUCUCAAUGGGAUCCGUUGUGAUGUGUAUGGC
Formica exsecta is the source of this 302-nucleotide long non-coding RNA. RefSeq lists it as uncharacterized. The transcript has 2 exons. NCBI's taxonomy places the organism in Eukaryota, Metazoa, Arthropoda, Insecta, Hymenoptera, Formicidae. The record is from RefSeq and is a predicted model, not a curated record.